RNAcentral lists this ribosomal RNA (301 nucleotides) under uncultured bacterium. RNAcentral's name for it is "partial 16S ribosomal RNA". It matches the Rfam family "Bacterial small subunit ribosomal RNA", at positions 509 to 808 of the family's 1533-position model. The record is from RNAcentral.
CAGCCGCCACGGUAAUACGUAUGUCACAAGCGUUAUCCGGAUUUAUUGGGCGUAAAGCGCGUCUAGGUGGUUAUGUAAGUCUGAUGUGAAAAUGCAGGGCUCAACUCUGUAUUGCGUUGGAAACUGUGUAACUAGAGUACUGGAGAGGCAAGCGGAACUACAAGUGUAGAGGUGAAAUUCGUAGAUAUUUGUAGGAAUGCCGAUGGGGAAGCCAGCUUACUGGACAGAUACUGACGCUAAAGCGCGAAAGCGAGGGUAGCAAACAGGAUUAGAUACCCCGGUAGUCCCUGUCUCUUAUACA